Molecule: ribosomal RNA, 1557 nt
Filed under: Triticum aestivum (bread wheat)
Lineage: Eukaryota; Viridiplantae; Streptophyta; Magnoliopsida; Poales; Poaceae
Description: partial small subunit ribosomal RNA
Source: RNAcentral
AUGGCCGGGCGGUCGCCGUUCACCAACCUCGACCCCGUGACGGCGGCCGACUUGCAGCGCAGGGGCUUCAACCCGCUCGAGCUGGACCGAGCCACGGAGCAGCUGCUCACGUACGUCUACACCAGCCUCAUCCCCGACUUCCCCUUCCUCGCCACCGGGCGGCUCGCCGCCCGCCCCGCCUCCGACGGCGUCGACCGCAUCAGCCGCCUCCCGCGCGCGCUCCUGCGCGACAUCGUCUCCCGCCUCCCCGUUACGGACGCGGCGCGCACGGCCGUGCUCUCCUCCCGCUGGCGCACGGUCUGGCUCUCCGCGCCGCCCGUCCUGGUCGACGCCUACCUCGGGGAGGACGACUACGCCUGGCCCCCCACGCCGGCCAACUCGCCCGCCAUCACCGCCGCCGUCUCCCGCGUCCUCGAGGCGCACCCGGGCCCCUUCCGCCACGUCCACCUCGUCUGCAGCCACAUGAACGCGUACCGGGCCCGGCUCGCGCGCUGGCUCCAGCUCCUCGCCGCCAAGGGCGUCCAGGACCUCGUCCUCGUCAACCGCCCCUGGCCGUGCGACGUGCCCCUCCCCGACGCGCUCUUCGCCAUCAGCACCCUCGUCCGCCUCCACAUCGGCCUCUGGAAGUUGCCGGACACGGCCCGCCUGGGAAGUUACCGGACGUUUCCCCACCUCCGCGAGCUUGGCAUCUGCAGCGUCGUAAUGGAGGAGGGGGACGUCGACGCCAUCGUCGCCAGGAGUCCCGUCCUGGAGGUCCUGAGCAUCCAGGGAAGCAGCAAGGGGCUGCGUCUCCGCCUCGUCAGCCAGAGCCUACGGUGCGUGCAGAUCUGCGGUUCUGUUGUGGAAGACAUUGCCGUGGUGAAGGUCCCAUGCCUCGAGCGGCUCAUCCUGCAUGGAUGCCGGGAUCUGGCUGGUGGCAUGUGUACCAGGAUCAGGAUUCUUGAUGCCCCCAAUCUGCGCGUGGUCGGAUUCUUGGAGCCAGCAAAUCAUGUCCUUAAGAUCGGAGACACCAUCAUAAGGGCUGGGAUGAAGGAGAGCACAGCCACAAUUCUCACAAGCGUGAAGAUCCUCAGCUUAAAUGUGCGUUUCGGUAUCCGCAGCGAGGCAGAGAUGGUGCCCAGGUUCCUCAAAUGCUUUCCCAAUGUGAAGACACUGCAUAUCAUGUCUGGAAAAUGCAAUCAGUCCACUGGUACGCUCAACCUCAAGUUCAAGGAGGUUCCCAUUGAAAGUGCCAUGUUGGGCAUCUCAGAGAUGUAUUUCCGUGAGUUCCGAGGGGAUGAAGGCGAGGUUGCCUUCCUCAAGUCGUUGUUCAAGAGUGCGGAUGUGCUGGAGAUGGCGGUGAUUAUGAUGGCAAAUCCAAGCUUCACGCAGUUUUCACCAGAUGACGCACUUUCCAAGGUGAAGAGUGCUUCUGAGCUCAGUAGAUCCUCCGGCAAAGUGGUGGUGGUUGUGAGUGGAGGUCCUGAAGGAGGAAGACCGUGGAGUUUCCAGAAAGGAACUGAUUUUUCAUGCGAGGACCCUUUUUCAGUAGUUGUGGAGAACCUUCGCAAAGCUUAG